This is a long non-coding RNA of Lolium perenne, 1291 nucleotides long. RefSeq lists it as uncharacterized. The record is from RefSeq and is a predicted model, not a curated record. Lineage: Eukaryota; Viridiplantae; Streptophyta; Magnoliopsida; Poales; Poaceae.
UCAUUUGGCGCAUACAUCUGUCCCGUGCGCCGCCCUAGCGCUGGCCAGUGCGCGCGCGCCGUCGCUGCGCAGACUUGACCAGUCGAGCUGCUCCGCACCCUGUGCCUUGCCUCCUCUCUCCAUACGUGCACGCCACCGCGAGCCUCGUUCACACGCUCCCCUCUCUGUCCCAUUCACCACUAUCCUGCCCUACCCCGCUCCAGCUCGAUCGUCCGUCCACCACUCCCAUGGAUGCACCGGCCCCGGCAAAUAAAAGAGAGCCCAAAGCUCCCGCUAUAUCCUAGCACACAACCCACCCUCUAUUUCUAUCUGGACAGAGCCAGAACAACGCUGCACUCCAUCCUCUGCCUUCUCUCGACCGGCUUGGGAGUCAGCCAUGGGCGCUUCGUCGUCGCGGUCACCACACCGUGGAGGACAAAGCUACAGACCGCCACACCACCUCUGCACCUUCUAGUUCUUUCAACCUUCGCUGCUCCCUCUCUCCUAGCUAAUCUGCCUCCUUUCUUGCCCAGGCAACCGUUGGGAGGACGCCGACGUUGACGCUUGGUCCGUGCAGCUCCGCCAACUCGCCCAGGUCGCCGAGCCGAGCAGAUGACAUGCACACGCCCCUGCACCGCCAGCGUGUCUCCCCCUUCAUCGCCGGCCGCACCUCCCGAAGCUCGCUCAGGACCGGCACCGUCGAGUUCGUCCGUGGCAACUUGGAGCUCGCCUCCGACCCCGUCGACGUCCAGAACGCUGUGCAUGCUCGUGGCGUCCGGACAGAGCCUUCGCAGUCCCCCUUCGCGUUCUGGUAAGGCCCCCGUCGCCCCCGCAACCCCUACAUGCAGACGUCGCCGUCGUCGCGUUCGCCGCAGCACCGGCGGACCAGGUCGGCGUCCGCAUCGUCGCUCGGCGUUUCGCCGCGCGCCGAGCCGCGCAAGCCAGGGUCGCCGCAGUCCGACCCUGAUGCUACACACCGUUGUUCCAACCAUCGAUGAUCUUAUGUCUUUGUGCCAGCGGUGCCAGAAAAUGUAGCUACUUGCUUGACACUGAGGUACUGAAAGUACACAUGCUACUACAGUUACUACAAACUAUACGACAGUUAGAGCCGAUGGGAGAUGAUUCUAAGAAUAAGAGCCGGAAGACAAGGAGACUAAUGUGCAAUCAAGACUUAGCGAAGAUGUGGCGUUGAGGUUCAGAAUGGUUCAUCCAGUUCCCAAGACUGUUACUUGCCUGUAAAAUUCUAUUUGAAUGUGUUUUUCCCCUUUUAGCAAGAUAUUAUAGUCUAAAUUUUUAUUUUUCGUUCAACUCA